Molecule: ribosomal RNA, 442 nt
Filed under: uncultured bacterium
Lineage: Bacteria
Description: bacterial SSU rRNA
Rfam family: Bacterial small subunit ribosomal RNA
Source: RNAcentral
ACUCCUACGGGAGGCAGCAGUGGGGAAUAUUGCACAAUGGGCGCAAGCCUGAUGCAGCCAUGCCGCGUGUGUGAAGAAGGCCUUCGGGUUGUAAAGCACUUUCAGUAGGGAGGAAGGUAGUGUAGUUAACACCUGCAUUAUUUGACGUUACCUACAGAAGAAGCACCGGCUAACUCCGUGCCAGCAGCCGCGGUAAUACGGAGGGUGCGAGCGUUAAUCGGAAUUACUGGGCGUAAAGCGCAUGCAGGCGGCCUGUUAAGUCAGAUGUGAAAGCCCGGGGCUUAACCUCGGAAUUGCAUUUGAAACUGGCAGGCUAGAGUCUUGUAGAGGGGGGUAGAAUUUCAGGUGUAGCGGUGAAAUGCGUAGAGAUCUGAAGGAAUACCAGUGGCGAAGGCGGCCCCCUGGACAAAGACUGACGCUCAGAUGCGAAAGCGUGGGGAGC